AAGACAUUAGUAAAAUUAAUUACAUCACCUUGUCAAGGUGAGAUCGUAGGGUAAUUUCCUGCAUGUCUUA
Molecule: transfer RNA, 70 nt
Filed under: Tariqilabeo bicornis (bihorned barbel)
Lineage: Eukaryota; Metazoa; Chordata; Actinopteri; Cypriniformes; Cyprinidae
Description: Akrokolioplax bicornis (bihorned barbel) tRNA-Asp
Source: RNAcentral